Molecule: long non-coding RNA, 828 nt
Organism: Callorhinus ursinus (northern fur seal)
Lineage: Eukaryota; Metazoa; Chordata; Mammalia; Carnivora; Otariidae
Source: RefSeq, a predicted model, not a curated record
GAGCAACUUCACUAAGAUGAUGUUCCAAAUGUAUUCCUUCUGUGAAGACAAAGGAUGGAUACAAACACGAUUAAGGCCCUCCUCAGGGAUAACUGUGUGAGCACAAAAGAAGAAAGUCUUUGGAGGCAUCAAAUUAUCUAACUAUCACACAAUACACACCUGUGUAUUCCAAAUCAAUGGAACGCCAGCAACGCAAAACAGGGUUCACCGUAGCUGACAAAUGAAAGAACGACUUAACGCAGCUAUGAGGCUGGAAUGGUGAGAGCUGAACCGUUACCUUGAGGUUAUACGGGACACAUGCGGGAAUCUUAGCGCCAGCUGAUGCAAAUCAGGGCUCCUUCCGUGGGAGCCUCGUCAGCACCAAAUUCCAGCAAGCGAGUUUGGGGGCCAACAUUGUUUUCCACAGCCUACUAUUAAAACUUAACUAUUUGGAUUUCCUGUGAGGUCUCUGCUGCCAUCUGCUGAGGAAAGUUGAAAGUGGCACUUUCCUAAUAUUUUGGCACGUUGCCUCAACAUGUGUUGAGUCCAGUGUUUCCACAAUGUGAACUGAUUUUUCUUACGGAAAGGAUUCUAUACUUUCCGCUUCAUUUUACUUGAAGAAAGAUCUUGAGAGCACGAGGAAUCUAACACAAGUUCAACAUCUUUUCCAUAACUGUGCUGAAUCAGCUAAGCACUUUUUCACUGAUCUUCAACUUACAUGUUGAGAACUUAACAUUUUUAAGACAAAGACCUUUAAAGGCAAUACAGACUCAAAUACUCCAAGCUUAAUUCUUUUCCUAGUUAAUAAAUAAUGUAUAUGGUACUUAAACUAAUAAAACUACAUUUAAA